AGAACUGGUGAGUUUGUUCUUUUUUUCCAGUAUGCUAGUGAAAUGAGAGUAAUUUCCUCAAUAUUUCUCUGCUGUGGCUCUUUCCUCCUGCAAUAGCAGCAAGGUGCUUAAUCACUAUUUAUGUUUCCUUCUUUUGAAACAGGUAAUAAAGUGUUGCCUUGCUAGGCGAAUGUUUGAGAAUGAUGAAUUCAGUAGUACACGAGAAGAGGUCAGAUGCUGCACUGAGUAUCUUCUGUGGGCAAGGAAAUGCUGAACUUCAGCUCAGUAUAUCACUGCUGAAGCUGUGCCUGGCCAUGGGAGAUGACAAGCAGCUGCUACCAGCCAAGCUUUAAAUCAAGAGAGAAGAAUCUUUUCCAUUACAUUCCAGUGAAUUGUGAAAGAUGGAAAUCGAAUCACUGCUUGGAAAGCUGUACUUCUACAAGGAGCUAUGUGAAGGUAGGUCCAUUGCCUAUUACACAUGUAGACAGAAUUCUCUUUUUUCCUGAGUAAGAAGCAAUUUCUUUGCUGACCCAUUUUAUCUUGUUCAGUCCUACUGAUUCGCACUACAAUGAAGUACUUGGGACACUUAUUUUGAGCCUACUACUACAGUCUCACAAAGGUGAGAAGUACUUCUACAGGGGCAUCACGUGAGGGGUGAACUUCAGGUGUCAGAACUGCCACAAAGUGAAUGACCACCAGCUGCUAACUGUGUGCCCGGCCAGGAGCCAGCAGAUAUUAACCACACAUUUAGUUUACAGUCCUAGCUAUAAAAUUAGGAUUUUGGUCAUUGAUUUUACUGAACUAAAGCUGAACAUUGUAUUUAUCACACCUACCUCCUAGCCAUCAGUCAAGUGUAGGAAAUAAAAGCGAUUUAUACAGAAUGCUCAGCUGAAUGUUCUUCUGUUCUCCCACAGUUUGAUGGAACUCUUGUGUGUUUGGGUGCGUCCCCCCUUGGCAGCUUCACCUGCUCAGCUCAGGUGAAAGGGAAGUAUAGAAAAAGACUUGUUGCUGAGCAUGAUAGAAAAAUCUCAGGGUGUGCAUGUUCACGAUGUUGCUACAAUGUAUGGAUUCCUCUGGAAAAAGACUUUGCUGGAUUUGUAUAAGGAGCAGAAGUAAAUGUAGCAGUUAAUGGGGGAAAGUUUGCUUGCAAAACAAACUGGAAAUUGAUAGUUGUUUUAAAUCUCUGUGAAUUCCUCCUUUAAAAAGCUGCAUCAAACUUCCACAUCCCAGGGCACAAUACAGUAGCUCAUGAUCCUCUGCUGUUUUGCUUGAUGCAAAAGAGUGCAUGUGUAUCCUUUAUUGUAGCCAUUUAGUUAAUAAAAAAAUAACAGUCCUUUUAGUGAGAUGAAUCAUUUCGGCACCUAUAUAUUUGACAUUGGGAGAAUCCAUUUACAGAUGGCUUAUACCACCUUUAUUGGUAAGAUUCAUCUGGGAUGCACUUUACAUUUCCUCACAUUAAGCUUCUUUCUUUGCUGUAGUGAUCUCUUGGUGUGGGGUGCAGACUUUGCAUCUGUGGCUGUUUUGCCAUCUGCUAAUGAUUGCCCAGGCAGGAGGUGGCCUUAUUUCAAGGCUUGAUCUGAGCUGCCCCACAACUUCUUGGCCACUUAGCAAGAUGUUUGGUAUAGGGAACUGCAGAAACCUUUCACUUAGCCCUAGGUUUUGCAGCUGUGAUUUACUUAGAGAUUUCUACCCUCCCUUUCGAUUCAGCUGAGUUUGGGCAAGCAGCUCAAAUAUUAUUAGGAGUGCCUUUUAGGCAGUCACAGUGCAACCAUGCAAACUCAUGCCCUUAAAAAACCACAUCUGGAAGUUUCCCAUUUCAGUUACAGGGUAAGAACAUAAUAGGAUCUUCUCACAACAGCCAAAGGUAGUAGGGCAUUCUGUGGAAGCAAAAUUAGAAACGCUGCCUCUAUCUCUGUCCUCCACUGCUGUCCUAGGAGCAGCCUGAAACCUGACAUAAUUUGGUAAUUUCAUUCUUACAACUUCAGCUACCCUUAAUGACCUUUAAAAUUGAUUUGCUUCAUUUGCUUUGGUUUUAAGAGAUUACACUUAAGUAAUGCUCUGCUGCAUUUAAUGUUUUGUUGUAUUCUAAUUUACUGUGUGAUGACUCUCUAUAUUAAAUAAUAGUAACAACUUCUGAAUUUAUUAAUCAACAAGAGAUGACAGAGAAUUCACAUUAAGCUCUCUAUAUAUUUUGAAUCGUUUAUCUCCCAGGUAACAUAAGAAAACUGUUAAAUCAUACUGAACCACAUUCCUCAGCUGAUGUAAAUCAGCUAAUAUACAGCAGCUGAAUUUCUUGCCCAUUAUGUUUUCCAUAAAAGAUGUCUUUGCCUUCAGAGCAUCAAUUAUCCAUGAUUCUUCUACUUUUCUUGUUUUCUGCCUUCGCAGGUGCUGCUAAUUCCCCUAUUUUCUUCCAGAAAUGGGAAAAAUGAUCUAUAUUAGGAAAUGUGUUCUUCCUUUCUUCAGUAAGCUGCAUUUUCAUUUUUGGUAUCCAUAUUUAAAUCCUGAUAUACAUACACAUAUGAACGAUAUGAGUUUUACUGCUGACAGUUUUAAAUCCUACCAUGUAUCAGCUGCAUAGACAAUUUAACCCCUCCUGAGCUUCACCAGAAGACAAUACAUUUUUUUGCAGAAGAAGAGAAAGGAAUGCAGUUUCUCACAGAGAUCUCCAUCAGGAAAUAAUCCCUAUCUUCAAGUCCUACCAUCCAAAAUCAGUUAAUGCUGAUAGUGAAUGAUGCACUUAGCCUGGAUGCUAGAGGUGGGUGAAAGAAAACCUUGGAGUAGCUCAUCCCACUGUCUCCUGGCACUGACAGAUGCACCAAAAGCUCCCACCAAAAGGGACAUGGUUGCAGAGGCUCUUUUCUCCACUUGCUGAUGCUCUCUGUGGAGCGAAGCCUGUGGUAUCUGGGUAUAUCUUUUCCUUGCCUCCCUUUUGUAGAUUGGGCAUUUGAGGCGGGAGCAAAGUGAAACUCAUCCCGUGCCCUGCUGGAAUUCACCACUGGUGACUUGUGCGUAGCAGCGCUAGGAAAAAUAUUUCUCCAGUGGUUAACUUGAGUUUGACUUCCAACAUCUCUUUAUUUGGCAAGAAAUGAAUUCAGCGGUUCUUUUUAGUGCUUGUGAAAAUGAAGGAUAGUUGUGCCUGCACUGCAAGAAAGGUGAUUUAGUCUCUGUACUUGAUCAGUAUUUUUUUGAGGGAGACUUGCCAAAUUCAUCAGUGCUGAUCUGGAAGCCAAAAUAGAUAUCCAUGUGUUCAGAAGAGGAGAAAUGCUGAAAUGCAGCUGGAAAGCAGCUCAAGGCUCCUGCCAGUUGUACUGGCUCACAACUAAGAGGUGAGUGAUGCUACAGCAAGUGUGCAGUCCAGCAAGGUUGUGUGAUGGUGGCAUUUGGGCUGACCUGAUCUUUUGGAGUUGAAUUCUAGCCUCAGAACUGUGUACAGAAUAAAAUGCAAUUUAGAGGGCAGCAGGGCUGCUUUUCCUGAAUGUUCAAAUCCCUCCUGACAGCUACAGGAAGCAGGAAUUUCUGCACAGCCUCCUCUACUAAUACAAUUGCAUUUUCAACA
Non-coding RNA from Phasianus colchicus (ring-necked pheasant), 3535 nucleotides. Lineage: Eukaryota; Metazoa; Chordata; Aves; Galliformes; Phasianidae. The record is from RefSeq and is a predicted model, not a curated record.